AUAGAGACUCAGAGCUGCAUAUCAAUAAGCGGAGGAAAAGAAACUAACAAGGAUUCCCCUAGUAACGGCGAGUGAAGCGGGAAGAGCUCAAAUUUGAAAUCUUAAAGGGUUUCCCUUUACGAAUUGUAGUUUAAAGAAGUGUUUUCUGUUGGAGUUUCGGUAAAAGUUCUUUGGAAUAGGACAUCAUAGAGGGUGAGAAUCCCGUAUUUGACCGUUACUUUCCAGCUGUGUGAUACACUUUCAAAGAGUCGGAUUGUUUGGGAAUGCAGUCCAAGAUGGGUGGUAAAUUUCAUCUAAAGCUAAAUAUUGGCGAGAGACCGAUAGCGAACAAGUACCGUGAGGGAAAGAUGAAAAGAACUUUGAAAAGAGAGUUAAACAGUACGUGAAAUUGUCAAAAGGGAAGCGUUUGACACCAGUGUUGUUUAGUUGAAAAUCAAUUCAAUAGUUUUUGAUUUCUAAGUAGUAUUGACUUCAUCAGCUUGCUGCUUUCUUCUCAGAAAUUAUUGAAUGCACUUUUCAGUUAACAAGUCAACAUCAAUUUCUUUUGUUGUAAAAGGGUAAGAGGAAGGUGGCUUGCGCUUCGGCUCAAGUGUUUAUAGCCUUUUAUCUCUGCAAUCGGAGAGAUUGAGGUCUGCAGCGUAGAUCCUUCGGGGUUAGAUACAUUGGUGCUAAGCUAUAGCCUUGUAUAGACAACUUGUUGACUAUGCUCAGUCAUGUAGCUUACUCGCUGAUGCUAUUUUACCUACGCUUAGGAUGUUGACGAGACUGUCGAUCUC
RNAcentral lists this ribosomal RNA (776 nucleotides) under uncultured Neocallimastigales. Its description in RNAcentral is "partial large subunit ribosomal RNA". It matches the Rfam family "Eukaryotic large subunit ribosomal RNA", at positions 23 to 647 of the family's 3401-position model. The record is from RNAcentral. Lineage: Eukaryota; Fungi; Neocallimastigomycota; Neocallimastigomycetes; Neocallimastigales.